AUGAUUACUAGUACGUUCAGCCUUCUUUCUGGCUGCAGCAAAAGUGGCCAACUGACCACCAAAAAUUCAUGCUCCUCCCCUCCGGACAACAUCCAAGGUUUUCUCUGUGUCCGUGUGAGGAGAGCAACGGCUCACCCCGAAAUGGAAUGCCCGACGUCUCAGAACUCCUUCAUGCUGCUGGGUCACUGCCACUUCUGUCUUCCUCCAAAAUACCACCUCGUACCUAGAGCAUGGCACCACUAAGCACGGGUAAGAGGGGAGAAGGCAGUGAAGGUGUGUAUGGCACAGUUCCUGCCUCCAGGAGCACACAGUCUCCUGAAAGAAAAGAGAAGCGCAGGAUGUUGAAAUGGGACUCUUGUCUCUCUUUUUGGCUGAGGCACCAAGUCAAUAGAUACAACAGCAAUGACAUUGCAAAGUGAGG
RNAcentral lists this long non-coding RNA (421 nucleotides) under Felis catus (domestic cat). Its description in RNAcentral is "lncRNA (ENSFCAG00000046250.2)". Lineage: Eukaryota; Metazoa; Chordata; Mammalia; Carnivora; Felidae. The record is from RNAcentral.